GCCAGUGAGGUGUAGUGGUUUGAAUGUUAGACUAUGACUCUGCAAACCAGUGUUCGAAUCCCUGCUCUGCCA
This is a non-coding RNA of Phrynosoma platyrhinos (Desert horned lizard), 72 nucleotides long. Lineage: Eukaryota; Metazoa; Chordata; Lepidosauria; Squamata; Phrynosomatidae. The record is from the annotation of a GenBank genome assembly.